RNAcentral lists this ribosomal RNA (2355 nucleotides) under Triticum aestivum (bread wheat). RNAcentral describes it as "partial small subunit ribosomal RNA". Lineage: Eukaryota; Viridiplantae; Streptophyta; Magnoliopsida; Poales; Poaceae. The record is from RNAcentral.
AUGGAGCUCCUCAGACCAUUCGCGGCCCUGUGCGUCCUGCUUGGCUUCGUCCUCGUCGCCGUGGCGGUGGUGGCCACGGAGGUGGAGAGCGAGACGUGGGAGGCCCAGUCCUGCUACAUCGUGCACGUCGCGGCCGCGCACGCGCCACGGCUGCCGCGCCGCGGCAUGCUGGCCACGCGGGCGUAUGGUGCGUUCUUGCGCAAUCAACUCCCCGUCGAGUUGUCCAGCCCGGCGCCGAGGGUGCUCUACUCCUACGCGCACGCCGCCACGGGCUUCGCGGCGCAGCUCACGGGCCGCCAGGCCGCGCAGCUCGCGUCCUCGGGCUCCGUGCUCGCCGUCGUGCCCGACGUGAUGCAGCAGCUGCACACCACCCUGACGCCAUCCUUCCUCGGCCUCUCGCCGUCCUCCGGCCUGCUCAAGGCGUCCAACGGCGCCACGGACGUCGUCAUCGGGGUGAUCGACACCGGCGUCUACCCGGAAGGCCGCAAAUCCUUCGCCGCCGACCCGUCGCUGCCGCCGACACCCAGCAAGUUCCGCGGUGGGUGCGUCUCGGGUCCGUCGUUCAACGCCUCCGCGCUCUGCAACAACAAACUCGUCGGCGCCAAGUUCUUCCACAAGGGGCUGGAGGCUGCACGCGGCCGCGCCCUAGGUGAGGACUCGUUGUCGCCGCUCGACACCAACGGCCAUGGCACCCACACCUCCUCCACCGCCGGCGGCUCACCUGCCGCGGAUGCCGGCUUCUUCGACUACGCCGGAGGAAAAGCCGUCGGCAUGGCCCCGGGCGCGCGCAUUGCCGUCUACAAAGCGUGCUGGGACGAAGGGUGCGCGAGCUCUGACAUCCUCGCCGCAUUUGACGAGGCCAUCACAGACCGUGUCGACGUUAUCUCUGUCUCGCUUGGCGACACCGGCUUGGCCGACAACUUUUACAGCGACACAACCGCGGUGGGGGCGUUCCGCGCCGUCAGCAAGGGCAUCGUCGUCUCCGCCUCAGCGGGAAACUCUGGCCCCGGGGACUCCACCGCCGUGAACAUCGCGCCGUGGUUCUUGACGGUGGGCGCGUCCACACUCAACCGCCGAUUCCCGGGCGACGUCGUUCUCGGCAACGGAGAGACCUUCACGGGCACUACUCUUUACGCCGGCGAGCCGCUCGGCGCGACCAAGUUACCAGUGGUCUAUGGAGGGGACGUGGGCUCCAAAGUGUGCGAAGAGGGGAAGCUGAAACCAGCCAAGGUAGCCGGGAAGAUUGUUUUCUGCGAACUGGGUGUAACGGCUCAAGCAGCGAAAGGACAAGCCGUCAAGCUCGCCGGUGGCGCCGGAGCAAUCCUCACCGGCGCCAAAGAAGACGGCGAGCAGGUCAUCACCAGCCCCCAUGUCCACCCCGCCACGGACGUCCCAUUUGCUGCCGCCGAGAAGAUUAAAAAGUACAUACGCACGCAAACUUCCCCUACGGCGACGAUCAUCUUCCGCGGCACCGUGGUCGGCUCGACGCCUCCUUCCCCUAGAAUGGCGUCUUUCUCGAGCCGCGGGCCGAACUUCCGCGCGCCGGAGAUCCUCAAGCCGGACGUGACCGCGCCUGGCGUGGACAUCCUCGCCGCUUGGACGGGCGCCAACUCGCCCUCCGAGCUCGACUUUGACACGAGGCGAGUGAACUACAACAUCAUAUCGGGCACGUCCAUGUCAUGCCCGCAUGUGAGCGGCAUCGUCGCGCUGCUCCGGCAGGCGAGGCCGGAGUGGAGCCCCGCCGCUAUCAAGUCCGCCCUGAUGACCACCGCGCGCAACAUGGACAACGCCGGCGGCGUGAUCGGAGACAUGUCCACCGGCGAGGCGUCCACGCCGUUCGCGCGCGGGGCCGGACACAUCAGCCCCAACAGCGCGGUCGACCCGGGCCUUGUGUACGACGCCGGCACGGAGGACUACAUCACCUUCCUGUGCGCACUCGGCUACACUGCCAAGCAGGUCGCCGUGUUCGGCUCGUCCACCAGCUGCUCGACGCGCGCGGGCUCCUCCGUGGGUGACCACAACUACCCAGCCUUCUCCGUGGUGAUCACCUCGAACAAAAAAAAGGCGGUCGUCACACAGCGCCGCGUUGUGCGCAACGUCGGCAGCGACGCCACGACGACGUACCGGGCCAAGAUCACCGCCCCGGACGGCGUGCUCGUGACGGUGAGCCCCGAGACAUUGCGGUUCAGUGCGACGCAGAAGACACAGGGGUAUGCGGUCACCUUCGCGCGGGAAAUCGGCGCGAGCGUCACGGAGAAGUACACGUUUGGGUCGAUCGAGUGGAGCGACGGCGAGCACACGGUGACGAGCCCCAUCGCCAUCACUUGGCCGACGAGCCAGGUCGCGGAGAUGUGA